Molecule: ribosomal RNA, 253 nt
Filed under: uncultured bacterium
Lineage: Bacteria
Description: partial 16S ribosomal RNA
Rfam family: Bacterial small subunit ribosomal RNA
Source: RNAcentral
UACGUAGGGUGCAAGCGUUAAUCGGAAUUACUGGGCGUAAAGCGUGCGCAGGCGGUUAUGUAAGACAGAGGUGAAAUCCCCGGGCUCAACCUGGGAACUGCCUUUGUGACUGCAUAGCUGGAGUGCGGCAGAGGGGGAUGGAAUUCCGCGUGUAGCAGUGAAAUGCGUAGAUCUGCGGAGGAACACCGAUGGCGAAGGCAAUCCCCUGGGCCAGCACUGUCGCUCAUGCACGAAAGCUUGGGGAGCAAACAGG